Long non-coding RNA from Passer domesticus (house sparrow), 1992 nucleotides. RefSeq lists it as uncharacterized. The record is from RefSeq and is a predicted model, not a curated record. NCBI's taxonomy places the organism in Eukaryota, Metazoa, Chordata, Aves, Passeriformes, Passeridae. The transcript has 2 exons.
AAUACCAAAAUACUUCUUUUCUCUGCCCUUAUUUUUGCAGAGGGCCUGUGGCCCCCAGGCACCCCAGUGUGGUGCUGAGGGUGGCAUGGGCAGGGGGAGCAGGAGCUGUGCUGGGCCCUGGCAGGGCCACUCCUGACUGCAGUUUGCCUCCAUUGGUGUACUGAUAAUAGAAAAGCUAAGCUAAGAGGGAACUUUAUGGAAAAGGACAUUUUUUUUCAGGGACAGGACAUUUGUGUAAUGGGUUCUUUGCUGGCAAGCAGAGUCUGCAGCUUGUUGUCCUUUGCUAACCCAUUGCAUGUGGCAUUGUUCUCCCUUCCUCCCUGUGCAGCCCCUUUCCCUGUGCUGUACAUGGGGAUGUGGAUGCACCUCUGCCGCUCAGAUAAGGGUUGAGUUUUAUCUUCACCAUUUUUCUCACUCCAGUGGGAAUUUUCAGUUACGGAAUCACAGUAUCGUUUGGGUCAAAAAGGUCCUUAACCCUCACCCAGUUCAACCCUCUGCCUGUGUGAGGAUGCCUUCCAGCAGCCAGGCUGAUCACAGCCCUGUCCAGCCUCACCUUGUUCUCAGAACCCUGUUCAAAACCAGCCUGCUUUUGUUCCCGGGAAUCUUUGAAUCCCAGCAGUUUCUGGGAGGUGGAUUUAUUACUCCAUGAGAAGGGAAUGUUGUGUGGCACCAUGCUGAUCCACAAGGGGCAGUGACACUACUGGAGAACCCACUGCUGACCAGCAAAGGUGGGGAGCACUAGAAAUGUGCUGGGUUAAUUUUUUUUGAUCUGAAUAAUUAUUUCACAGAUGGCUGAACUGGCAGAUCAAGAAGUUCAGUGCCGUGGUUUGUGUGCCAGUGGUUUGGCACCAGGUGCUUACACAAGUAAUGCAAACAUGAAUGACUUGGAGGUGUCAUUAUAUGUUUCAUCUAAUCCUGUCAAACAAGCAAAGUGACUGCAGGGGACACCCCAUGGUGCCUGUUAACCCAGAUCUGCCUGUGGUGCUGGCACUGAUUUUGGUUUUGGGUUGGUUCUGCCCUGUGAGCAGCCGUGUGCCAGGCAGGGGUUCCCGCUCUGUCACCGCUGGCUGCUGGCACUGCGUGUGGGGAGUGUCAAUAGCCAGCCAGGCUUUUCACUGGGCAAAUGAUGUGUGGCCAGCUUGAAUUCUUCAGAUCAAUAACCCAGUGACAGGCAGCUCGAGCGCUUGGAAAUAGCAUUAAGCCCGACGCUGCUGUUUUGUGUAUUGCAAGGGAUCGAAGAACACCAGGGCCUGAAUUGCAGAGCUCCAUCACUGUGUCACGGCUGUAAGCGUGAAUAUAAAGUGCUGUGGAAGAAUGUGUGGCCUCUUUGAAAGGUGAAAAGGAAAUGUUAACACUUGGACUUGGCAGCAGCUGGGGAAUGGGAGCUGGGACCAAUUCCCACCCAAGUGCCACAUCUGGUCACUUUGCCCAUCCACCAGCUAGAGGAAAGACAGGAAUAUAGAAUGUUUGGGUUGGAAGGGACCAUACAGAUCACCAAGUUCCAACAGCCUGCUGUAGGCAGAGAUGCUUCCAAUCCAGUAGGAAUUGAGGUUCCUAAACUCCCAGAGGAAGAAGCCCUGAACAGAGGAUGCAAUCCUUGUACAUUGCAGUGUCUGUUGUGAGCAGUGGGGAAUUUGCUUGCCUUAUGGUCAGGAUCCACAGGAAACUCCUUUUCCACUUAGGCUGAUAAUAUUUGCUAUGCAACAGAAUACUGUUUAAUCUGGGAUUUUUUUCAUCCCCCAGAAGAAACACUUUUUUGCUCAUGUUCCUGAAAUCUAUAUGUGUAGUGAGUCAAGCACAAAGAUCCUGUGGCACAAAGCUGAUGUAGAGCCUGCAGGGGUGUUCUUCAUGAUUUUAUUCCAGGUCUUGCGUUUAAUCCAAUGUAACUGGUUCUUAAACACUGUCUCUUCUGAAAAAUAUUUGAAGAAAUGUAAAUUUUGAACAUAUUCUCUUCAAAGAACAAAUAAAAUUGCUGUACCUGGAAUAGUUAAA